GAGUUUGAUCGUGGCUCAGAUUGAACGCUGGCGGCAUGCCUUACACAUGCAAGUCGAACGGCAGCAUGAUCUAGCUUGCUAGAUUGAUGGCGAGUGGCGAACGGGUGAGUAAUACAUCGGAACGUGCCCUGUAGUGGGGGAUAACUAGUCGAAAGAUUAGCUAAUACCGCACACGACCUGAGGGUGAAAGUGGGGGACCGCAAGGCCUCAUGCUAUGGGAGCGGCCGAUGUCUGAUUAGCUAGUUGGUGGGGUAAAGGCCCACCAAGGCGACGAUCAGUAGCUGGUCUGAGAGGACGAUCAGCCACACUGGGACUGAGACACGGCCCAGACUCCUACGGGAGGCAGCAGUGGGAAUUUUGGACAAUGGGCGAAAGCCUGAUCCAGCAAUGCCGCGUGUGUGAAGAAGGCCUCGGUUGUAAG
RNAcentral lists this ribosomal RNA (421 nucleotides) under uncultured microorganism. Its description in RNAcentral is "bacterial SSU rRNA". It matches the Rfam family "Bacterial small subunit ribosomal RNA", at positions 9 to 429 of the family's 1533-position model. The record is from RNAcentral.